AUGACUGACACUGAGUCUCCUGGAUCCACAGAUCAUGCACAGCAGAAGAGCAGGUUUCUCCCACCUCACCCUCCCUAUGUGCCUCUGUCUUGACCACGUGGGACCACUGCUGUGGGGUAGAGGGCUAGAUUUGUCCUCCACAGCAAAUCUUGAGCUUUU
Molecule: small RNA, 159 nt
Filed under: Crocodylus porosus (Australian saltwater crocodile)
Lineage: Eukaryota; Metazoa; Chordata; Crocodylia; Crocodylidae
Description: TUC338 (ENSCPRG00005009619.1)
Source: RNAcentral